Molecule: ribosomal RNA, 497 nt
Filed under: uncultured bacterium
Lineage: Bacteria
Description: partial 16S ribosomal RNA
Rfam family: Bacterial small subunit ribosomal RNA
Source: RNAcentral
GAUGAACGCUGGCGGCGUGCCUAAUACAUGCAAGUCGAGCAAACAGAUGAGGAGCUUGCUCCUCUGACGUUAGCGGCGGACGUGUGAGUAACACGUGGAUAACCUACCUAUAAGACUGGGAUAACUUCGGGAAACCGGAGCUAAUACCGGAUAAUAUAUUGAACCGCAUGGUUCAGUAGUGAAAGACGGUUUUGCUGUCACUUAUAGAUGGAUCCGCGCCGCAUUAGCUAGUUGGUAAGGUAACGGCUUACCAAGGCAACGAUGCGUAGCCGACCUGAGAGGGUGAUCGGCCACACUGGAACUGAGACACGGUCCAGACUCCUACGGGAGGCAGCAGUAGGGAAUCUUCCGCAAUGGGCGAAAGCCUGACGGAGCAACGCCGCGUGAGUGAUGAAGGUCUUCGGAUCGUAAAACUCUGUUAUUAGGGAAGAACAAAUGUGUAAGUAACUAUGCACGUCUUGACGGUACCUAAUCAGAAAGCCACGGCUAACUACGUG